RNAcentral lists this ribosomal RNA (442 nucleotides) under uncultured bacterium. Its description in RNAcentral is "partial 16S ribosomal RNA". It matches the Rfam family "Bacterial small subunit ribosomal RNA", at positions 338 to 795 of the family's 1533-position model. The record is from RNAcentral.
CCUACGGGUGGCAGCAGUGGGGAAUAUUGCGCAAUGGGGGCGACCCUGACGCAGUAACGCCGCGUGAUUGAAGAAGGCCUUCGGGUUGUAAAGAUCUUUAAACAGGGACGAAGAAAUGACGGUACCUGAAGAGUAAGCUCCGGCUAACUACGUGCCAGCAGCCGCGGUAAUACGGAGGGAGCAAGCGUUAUCCGGGUUUACUGGGUGUAAAGGGCGUGUAGGCGGGCAUGUGAGUCAGAAGUGAAAUCUGGGGGCUUAACCCCCAAACUGCUUUUGAAACUGCGGGUCUUGAGUGAUGGAGAGGCAGGAGGAAUGCGCGGUGUAGCGGUGAAAUGCGUAGAUAUUGGGAGGAACACCAGUGGCGAAGGCGGCCUGCUGGACAUUAACUGACGCUGAGGCGCGAAAGCGUGGGGAGCAAACAGGAUUAGAUACCCGAGUAGUC